This 422-nucleotide small RNA is filed under the name Arabidopsis thaliana (thale cress). RNAcentral describes it as "ATSL200280". The record is from RNAcentral. Lineage: Eukaryota; Viridiplantae; Streptophyta; Magnoliopsida; Brassicales; Brassicaceae.
AUUAGUUCUGGAACGUGAAUCAAGCAAUGAAUCAUCAAAGAAAUCAUUUGGCUAAGGUAAAAGGUCAAGAGACAAAGAUGGUCCCUUACAGAAUAGGCUCAGUAACAGGGGAUAUCUCAAAAAAUGAUUAAGCUUUAGUAGAAUGCUAAAGGUAAGUCCCAAGCUAUGCAUACAGAGAUAAGAUCUCAUCUACCCAGAGUACAUCAAAUGAAGCUCUAAUGGUAAUCCCAUCUCUAAUCCCAAUACAAGAACUAAACGCUACCCUUUGCAUUGAUGAAUCUUUUAAGCCCUUUUUCUAAUCAUUCUUUUCUUUUCUCUUAACUCUAGGAGAAGCUUUCUCAACACUUUGAUAUAUCUAGCGGAUUUGGAUUUCUUUAACAACUAAGGUUCCUGUUUUUAACAUUUUAAAACCAAGGGAUUUU